AAAUUGAAGAGUUUGAUCAUGGCUCAGAUUGAACGCUGGCGGCAGGCCUAACACAUGCAAGUCGAACGGUAACAGGAAGCAGCUUGCUGCUUUGCUGACGAGUGGCGGACGGGUGAGUAAUGUCUGGGAAACUGCCUGAUGGAGGGGGAUAACUACUGGAAACGGUGGCUAAUACCGCAUAACGUCGCAAGACCAAAGAGGGGGACCUUCGGGCCUCUUGCCAUCAGAUGUGCCCAGAUGGGAUUAGCUUGUUGGUGAGGUAACGGCUCACCAAGGCGACGAUCCCUAGCUGGUCUGAGAGGAUGACCAGCCACACUGGAACUGAGACACGGUCCAGACUCCUACGGGAGGCAGCAGUGGGGAAUAUUGCACAAUGGGCGCAAGCCUGAUGCAGCCAUGCCGCGUGUAUGAAGAAGGCCUUCGGGUUGUAAAGUACUUUCAGCGGGGAGGAAGGUGUUGUGGUUAAUAACCGCAGCAAUUGACGUUACCCGCAGAAGAAGCACCGGCUAACUCCGUGCCAGCAGCCGCGGUAAUACGGAGGGUGCAAGCGUUAAUCGGAAUUACUGGGCGUAAAGCGCACGCAGGCGGUCUGUCAAGUCGGAUGUGAAAUCCCCGGGCUCAACCUGGGAACUGCAUUCGAAACUGGCAGGCUUGAGUCUUGUAGAGGGGGGUAGAAUUCCAGGUGUAGCGGUGAAAUGCGUAGAGAUCUGGAGGAAUACCGGUGGCGAAGGCGGCCCCCUGGACAAAGACUGACGCUCAGGUGCGAAAGCGUGGGGAGCAAACAGGAUUAGAUACCCUGGUAGUCCACGCCGUAAACGAUGUCUACUUGGAGGUUGUGCCCUUGAGGCGUGGCUUCCGGAGCUAACGCGUUAAGUAGACCGCCUGGGGAGUACGGCCGCAAGGUUAAAACUCAAAUGAAUUGACGGGGGCCCGCACAAGCGGUGGAGCAUGUGGUUUAAUUCGAUGCAACGCGAAGAACCUUACCUGGUCUUGACAUCCACGGAAGUUUUCAGAGAUGAGAAUGUGCCUUCGGGAACCGUGAGACAGGUGCUGCAUGGCUGUCGUCAGCUCGUGUUGUGAAAUGUUGGGUUAAGUCCCGCAACGAGCGCAACCC
Molecule: ribosomal RNA, 1114 nt
Filed under: Salmonella enterica
Lineage: Bacteria; Pseudomonadati; Pseudomonadota; Gammaproteobacteria; Enterobacterales; Enterobacteriaceae
Also listed under: 1 other name
Description: bacterial SSU rRNA
Rfam family: Bacterial small subunit ribosomal RNA
Source: RNAcentral